Molecule: long non-coding RNA, 223 nt
Filed under: Elaeis guineensis (African oil palm)
Lineage: Eukaryota; Viridiplantae; Streptophyta; Magnoliopsida; Arecales; Arecaceae
Description: long non-coding RNA (EGUI_LNC075541)
Source: RNAcentral
GCUAAGCCUGUAUUAUGUCAAGAUCCAUAGUAGGCUUAUUGUGCUAUCUAUAAGGCUUACUGUGGGGAUUGAUUUGAUACUAUGUUGGUGCAUAAUAAAGCUGAUGAUAAUUAGCUCAUACUACGUCAAUAGAGUAUGUCAAAAACUGUAGUUAGUUUGUUGUACUAUCCACAAGGCUUGCUAUAGUGAUUUGCAUGAUGUUGAUCUAGUGAUGCUUAUGGUA